GCCGGCACCACCGGCGAGCUCUCGGCCGGCUGCAUGUGGAGGACUAAGCGGGGCUGCGACCCCGUGCACAACUGGCAUGGGUGCAGGAGCUUCCGGCGGGGCAAGGCGGGGCGUAUAGUUCUGGGCGGAGCCAUGAGAGAAAAGCUGCAAAUCUUUCCACCUGCUCCCCCAACUCCAGGGCUGAGAACACGCCCAACCUGAGAUCCACCGAGGAUAACCUUCUGGUUGCUGCUUGUCCACACCAGGGAAGCCUUGGCCAGGAAUCCGUAGGGCGGAGUCCACUCCCACCCUGGAGUCCAUCCCCGGGCCCACCUCCCCACUCUGGGUCUCCCUUCCUUGAAUCUCCCCAUUCUAGGUCUCUAGAUCCUGGGUCUUCCUGCCCUGGGGCCCCUCCCCAGCCUGGAUUCCCCUGGGCACCCAUGCUCUGGCACUCCCCAUCCUGGGUCUCCCUGCACUGAGACCACCUGCCAUGGGUCCCCUGCCCUGGUUACCCUACCCCCGGUCUCCCCAUCCUUGGUGUCCCUACCCUGGACCCCCUCCCCGCCUGGGUUCCCCACCAGCGCCCUGGUUAUCCACAUUCUGGGUCUCCUGUUCCUGGGUCCCUCUGCCCUAGUCCAUCCCUGGAUCUCACCCUGAGGUACCUAUGUGCCCUAAUUGCUACCCACUGGCAUGGCCCUGCCUCUGGCUUCUUCCCCUCACACUCAUAUGGGCUGCAGCUCCAUGCUUUGAAUCCCUCAUCCCUGUCCACUUGGUGUCCUGAGACGUGGACACUUGGCAUGAGAGCCACCAUGGGUGCCAUUCCCAGCAGGGCAGCCUCCUGCAACCUCAGAAUGGUGGGAAGUGAGCACAGCAGGCAUGAGGAAGGCCUGGCUCUCCCACUUUCCCCAAAGGCAGCGCACAUAGGAGCUCCCUCUGUGACCAGGUGGGCGUGAGGUCUUGGGCCUUAGCAGACGACCUGAGUGGAGGGAAUGUUCUGGAACGAACGCUGAGGCCAACAGGAGCUGGAGAGCCGUGUGUGGAACUGGACCUGCCCUUGGGGACUGCUGUGCAUUUCCAGCUUUCCCCACACCCAGGAGACGGCAGGCAGCUGAGACACUGGUCCCCAGGGUCCAGAUGCUGGCUCUGAAGACUCAACAUGGCUGGCCCACCUGGCAGCCCUUUGCUUUUGAAAGACAGUGUCCCUUCUUCUCUUGCACUGCAACCUGCCUGUGCCCUGGGACCCUCCUGGGUGGCCUUGCCUGGACCCGGCUGCCGGGUGCUGAUGGGUGGCCUUUGUCUGGUCUUGACCUCAUGCUUGAUUGCUCUCUCCUUUCUCCUCAAGCCCCAGAGGAAAAAGAGAGAGAAGUCUUUUGCCCCCAGGGCCUGACAGCACUGUUACCAGCUCCUGUGUCCUGUCCUGUGGCCUGCUCUUCUGCCAAUUGCAGUGCCCAGCCGGGCCUUCCUGCCUGGCAGAGCCCACUCCUGGCCAGGUGCCCUUAAGGCCCCUUUGUGAGGAGCCUUCAGAUCCCACCUCAGCCUUGCAGCCUUGUAGAGCAGCCAGAAAGCAUAGGCACUGGCCCUGCAUGUUUGCACCUGAGUGUGGAGGGCAUCCUGUUUCUCAGGGUUAGCGCCCACAUAAGGGCCCUGUGGUCCUGUGGAACAGAGAGUUGCCCUCCAGGAAGAGUGGAGGGAGGGGUAAAGAUGUCCUCUAGGAAUGAGGGCACAGCUCUGCCCUUUCCCUCCAGGUCCAUCCCUGUACCCCAGGAUGAAGCAUGGUGGGCCAUGUCCUAGACCAGCCUCUUUCCUGUUGCCUCUUUAAGCCAAGGGCCCUGGCAUCUGGCCCCUUUCUGCAGUAUUUUCUGCAGUGUUGUCCAGGGCAGUGGUGCUCUCCCCCUGGAGUACUUAGCCAGCCCAGCCACCUGCAGGCCCCAGGGGUUUCGAGCGUAAGCAGGAAAACAGGCAUCUUUGUGCAGGCUCAGACUAGUGCCGGUCACCUGUAGGCUCCUGGCUGUCCCUGAGAAGGUCCAGGCAAGGCCCCAAUGACAGGCAAGACCUGGAAAGAAUGAGUGGACCUUAGUUGGAGGGAUCACAGCCGCAGCAGCUGGGUCUGCCUGUCUGUCAUCAAUCUAGCCACUGAGGCGGUCAGCCAUAUACCAUAGGCUCCUGCUGUCCCUCGAAGGACAGAGCCUGCCCUGGGGCUCCUGGCCACUGGACUCUCAGCUGGGCUGCACACUUGCUACCAACUCCUGGGGGUACUGCAGAGCCAUACCUCACACCCAGAGGGCUGCAGAUCACUACAGGGUCCACAGGGCUUGCCAUGGCCUGGGAUUCCACAUUGCUGACCAAUGCUAGCCCAGCUGCCAGUCCCUAGACUUCCAAUGUGCACAACCUCCAGAGCUGUGCAACCACGAAAACCUAAUUGGUUUCCAUCAGUGGCUGGAGUCAGAUAGGGAGGCCACUGCUGUUGAAGAUUAGAGGUUAGAGGGGCUUCAAAAACAUGACAACAGGGGCCAGAUAGGCCCAGAGGCACUUUUGACCCCCACCAGCCACAGAGACUUAGGGAUGGGAAGUGUGCAUUGUCAUUACCAUGAAUGGAAACUGAUGCUGUUGGACUUGGCCCAAGCCCUGCAGGCUGGAGAAUAGGGUGAAUAAAGAAAGACAUGGUGGGGGCUGGGGAUUUAGCUCAGCAGUCAUAAGCGCCUGCCUUGCAAGCAGGCAGUCGUGAGUUCGAUCCCUGGUACCAAUAAAAACGAAAAAAACACGGUGCAAAUACGUGGGAUUUCCUUCUAUCUUCUGUUUGAAGGCAAAGGUUGUUUUCACAGUUUUGCUUUGUUCUGAUUAAUUGUUAAUUAAUUCUUUCUUGAUUGGUUUUAUAAUGUUGUUCUUGGUUUAAUUUCAUCAUACCUGAUUGAAUAGACAAUUAUUGUGAAGAUAACGAGAUAUACUAUGGUACCGAUUACUGUUAUCCCGGUAUCCCGCACUGAAGUUCUGUACCAAUUUCAUUGCAUUGUCUCGACUGGCUUUGUUCUGUUGUAUCUUACUAACUUCAAAAUUAAAAAGAAGAAAAAAAAGCCCCCUCUUGGCAUCCAGAGCAGGGCUCACUGCCCACGGCCCCACCCAGGACAGUGUUACGCACUUGGGCAAGACUGGUGGUACCUACUGGUCCCUGUGCCUUUUGCUUCAUAGAGCCAGCACCUGUGCCCGCAGAGCCUGGGGCAAGAUACUUGACCUUUCUCACCUGGCCAAGGUCCCUCUCCUCCCCUGCGUGCCUGGCCUUCCCUGCCUCAGCGUCUGCUCUGGACAAAAUGACUACUCUCCGUCCCCCUUAGCUGGCACUCCUGGUGGUGGGGUUCUCAUCCAUCUCUACCAUCCCUUCCUUGAGAAUAAGACCUAACUGAAAAAUAAGCCCUAGCAUGAUUUUAGGGUGCUUGUAAUGUAAGCCCACCCCUGAGUAAGUCCUAGUUAAGUUCCAGAUGGAGGCAUGUUAGCACAUUUGCUGAGCAUAUGACAGACAUAUUAAAUUAGAAAAGAAUGACAUUAAUAUAGAAUUAAAUAUAAAUAAUAGUAUUGACAGUAAUAUUUAAAUAAAUGAUGAUCUGACAUAAUUAAGUUCUGUAUUUAUAAAUAGCCAAGCAGGUGCCUUUGGAUGAGAGGUAAACACCUGUGUAAAUAGAUGAACCUGAAACUCACUGUCAAAUGACCAGAGGACAGACACGACCAUGAGUGGCAGUGAGCAGGUCCAGCUGGGUCUAGAGCGAAUCUUCAUGGCUCAGCACCCUGUGUUGUAACAAUAUAUAGUGCAUGCAUGUGAAACACAGGGAUGUUCUCUGAAUUUUGCUGCCUGUUUUCCAUCAUCUUGUGUGGCCAUCAUUGUUAAGUGUCAUCAUUUGGCUGGCACUUCUGUCCUGCAUGUCUCAAGUUAGCACUUGAUCUCAUGGAACUUUGUGAAGCCUGCCUGCACAAAAUCGUGACCUGGCUGCAGAAGCUAUGGGACAAAAUCACUGCCACCGCAUUGUCAGUGUGCUGUGUGCCGACUACACGGGCAGGAAGUGCUCCUGUAAGGGAGCUCUGUGGUGGGACUUGAGAGAUUGGAGCCAGUGGAUCUACAGAAAAUGGAGUCACCAGAAAUUCAGGCUGGAAUUCGGGGUUUGGUGAGUUCUGGUGUUCCAGAAAAAGAUGACAGGACUAUUUGAAUACAUGUAGAUUAUCAUACAUUAAAAAGUAAGAUGUCCCCUGAAAAUAAAUUGUGUUGCAUCUUUUGAAGUAAAAA
This is a long non-coding RNA of Cavia porcellus (domestic guinea pig), 4249 nucleotides long. RefSeq lists it as uncharacterized. The record is from RefSeq and is a predicted model, not a curated record. NCBI's taxonomy places the organism in Eukaryota, Metazoa, Chordata, Mammalia, Rodentia, Caviidae. The transcript has 2 exons.